AAGUCGUAACAAGGUCUCCGUUGAUAAACCAACAGAAGGAUCAUUACCAAGUUACAUGCUCAAACAACCCUUCUGUGGACCUGAAUUAAACUGUUGCCUCAACAAGUAGUCCUCUAUCAAAACCCCAUAUGGAUGUGGACAAGGGAUCAGACAGUCCGGUACGCUUAAGGCAUCCCAGCAUCAGCCGCUGGUCCUAAACAAUUAAACUCUAGUAACUUUACUUUCUAAGUUUUAAUACAAAAAAUAAGUCAAAACUUUCAACAACGGAUCUCUUGGCUCU
This 280-nucleotide unclassified non-coding RNA is filed under the name fungal sp. Its description in RNAcentral is "partial internal transcribed spacer region". Lineage: Eukaryota; Fungi. The record is from RNAcentral.